UACAGAGGUCUCAACCGUUCGGAUUCAUUGGGCGUAAAGGGUGCGUAGGCGGUCGUGCAAGUCGGAUGUGAAAUCUCAGGGCUCAACCCUGAAACUGCAUUCGAUACUGCGCGGCUAGAGUGCUGGAGGGGAGACUGGAAUUUACGGUGUAGCAGUGAAAUGCGUAGAUAUCGUAAGGAAGACCAGUGGCGAAGGCGAGUCUCUGGACAGCAACUGACGCUGAGGCACGAAGGCCAGGGGAGCAAACGGG
Molecule: ribosomal RNA, 250 nt
Filed under: uncultured bacterium
Lineage: Bacteria
Description: partial 16S ribosomal RNA
Rfam family: Bacterial small subunit ribosomal RNA
Source: RNAcentral